CCCCCGCCCCCCUACGGGAGGCAGCAGCCUACGGGAGGCAGCAGUGAGGAAUAUUGGACAAUGGAGGCAACUNUGAUCCAGCCAUGCCGCGUGCAGGAAGACUGCCCUAUGGGUUGUAAACCGCUUUUAUAGAGGAAGAAACCUCCCUUCGUGAAGGGAAUUGACGGUACUCUACAAAUAAGGAUCGGCUAACUCCGUGCCAGCAGCCCGCGGUAAUACGGAGGAUCCAAGCGUUAUCCGGAAUCAUUGGGUUUAAAGGGUCCGUAGGCGGACUAAUAAGUCAGUGGUGAAAGUCUGCAGCUCAACUGUAGAAUUGCCAUUGAUACUGAUAGGCUUGAGUCACUAUGAAGUGGUUAGAAUGAGUGGUGUAGCGGUGAAAUGCAUAGAUAUCACUCAGAAUACCGAUUGCGAAGGCAGAUCACUAAUAAUGUACUGACGCUGAUGGACGAAAGCGUAGGUAGCGAACAGGAUUAGAUACCCUGGUAGUCUACGCCGUAAACGAUGGUUACUAGCUGAUUGGUCUAUUGAGACUGAUUGGCUAAG
Molecule: ribosomal RNA, 543 nt
Filed under: uncultured marine bacterium
Lineage: Bacteria
Description: bacterial SSU rRNA
Rfam family: Bacterial small subunit ribosomal RNA
Source: RNAcentral